AUUUACAAAUUUUUAUAUAUAUUAAUUUUUAAAAAUGAACUGUCUCCGCGGUGUACCGCGGGUUAAAAUCUAGUUAUUAAAGUAAUUUGAGAUCAGUAAUUUGAGAUCAGUUACUCUUGGAAAA
This 124-nucleotide small RNA is filed under the name Arabidopsis thaliana (thale cress). Its description in RNAcentral is "ATSL107070". The record is from RNAcentral. Lineage: Eukaryota; Viridiplantae; Streptophyta; Magnoliopsida; Brassicales; Brassicaceae.